UUAUGGUGCUUUCCAUCCCCGACAGAAAAUGGAGUUUUUGAGAAAUCAAACUCUGGCAUCUACCACACCAUCAUCAGAACAUCCUAAAUCUUAUCGUCUCUAUCUCUUGUCUCUACAUCCACUACAGCCACCACCUCAAAUAGCUAACCACAACCACCACUUUCACGUACAAUCUUCCAGCUAGUUAAAGAAAUCCCUAAUUCAAACUUGACAUUAUAGUCG
This 222-nucleotide long non-coding RNA is filed under the name Olea europaea (common olive). RNAcentral's name for it is "long non-coding RNA (OEUR_LNC013501)". The record is from RNAcentral. Lineage: Eukaryota; Viridiplantae; Streptophyta; Magnoliopsida; Lamiales; Oleaceae.